CAGCAGUAGCCACGGUAAUACGGAGGGUGCAAGCGUUAAUCGGAAUUACUGGGCGUAAAGCGCGCGUAGGUGGUCUGUUAAGUUGGAUGUGAAAUCCCCGGGCUCAACCUGGGAACUGCAUUCAAAACUGACUGACUAGAGUAUGGUAGAGGGUGGUGGAAUUUCCUGUGUAGCGGUGAAAUGCGUAGAUAUAGGAAGGAACACCAGUGGCGAAGGCGACCACCUGGACUAAUACUGACACUGAGGUGCGAAAGCGUGGGGAGCAAACAGGAUUAGAUACCCCAGUAGUCCCUGUCUCUUAUAA
RNAcentral lists this ribosomal RNA (304 nucleotides) under uncultured bacterium. RNAcentral's name for it is "partial 16S ribosomal RNA". It matches the Rfam family "Bacterial small subunit ribosomal RNA", at positions 506 to 809 of the family's 1533-position model. The record is from RNAcentral.